GAUGAAGAACGUAGCGAAAUGCGAUACGUAAUGUGAAUUGCAGAAUUCAGUGAAUCAUCGAGUCUUUGAACGCACAUUGCGCCCCCUGGUAUUCCGGGGGGCAUGCCUGUCCGAACGUCAUUGCUGCCCUCAAGCACGGCUUGUGUGUUGGGCCCCCGCCCCCCGGUUCCCGGGGGGCGGGCCCGAAAGGCAGCGGCGGCACCGCGUCCGGUCCUCGAGCGUAUGGGGCUUCGUCACCCGCUCCGUAGGCCCGGCCGGCGCCCGCCGGCGACCCCCCCUCAAUCUCACGUAUUUGACCUCGGAUCAGGUAGGGAUACCCGCUGAACUUAAGCAUAUCAAUAAGCGGAGGA
This 350-nucleotide unclassified non-coding RNA is filed under the name soil metagenome. RNAcentral describes it as "partial contains 5.8S ribosomal RNA, internal transcribed spacer 2, and large subunit ribosomal RNA". The stretch from base 1 to 120 matches the Rfam family "5.8S ribosomal RNA", at positions 35 to 154 of the family's 154-position model. The record is from RNAcentral.